AUUCAAUGCAAUAUGAAUUGUAAAAUUUUCCAUACAGCUAGAUGUCUCAGAUGGCAUUCCCUCAGUCAUUUUAGGUGAUCCCUUCCCUAACCUCAAGUAGUUUUGCAUAAUGUGAUGGCUAAGAUGGAUUGUCCGUGGGAUCAGAUUAGAAACUCUCCAGGGGAUAAUGCAGCAUACGUCUGGCAGUGUCUGGAAGUUACAGAGGCCUUACUCCAGUUACUACUAUAGAUAUAGACCCUGGACCCUUCCCCUCAGGAGCUUUCCCUGCUCUGUUUCCCAGUCAACAUGACCUAAGUAGAUUUACUCUACCACACUUUACUACCAUGGUAGUCUGCCUUGGAACCACGCAAAACAUGCACUGAAUCACCUGUGUUUUUGUUAACUUUACUUCUUGCUGAGACAAAUACCUGACACCCAAAAGUUAAAGGAGGAAAGAUUUACUGUAGUUCACAGUUUGCAGAGGGUUUAGUUUGUAAUUUCUGGCUCCAAGGCAGGGUGGCACAGUAGAAGGGCAUCACAGAGGAGAAGGAGUCUAUGGUGAGCAGAAGGCAGGAAAGCAGCAAUCAAAGACACAAGCAGAAAGUGAUGACAGCAGCCUUCUUUUUAUCCCUUAUAUUCUAUCCAGGCUACAGGCUCUUAGAGUGGUAGCACUGACACCCAGGGUGGGCCUUCCCAUUACCCAUGCCUACAAUGAUGCCAAACCAAUUAGUGGACUAAUUUAGUUAUCACACAUCCUUAUCCCCAGCAUCACAUACCCUAGAUCCAGCCAUCCCUGAAAUUCCCCACCUAUGACCGCAUGAGGCUUUGAGGGGACAUGUAGACACAGCCAUAGCACCCUGGGGCCAUGAGCCAGGUCAAACAUCUCUUUCUUUGAGUUGUAGGUGUUAGUAUUAUGUCCCAGAGACAGGAGACUGGCUAAUGCACAUGGAGAUGCUGUCAUGGUUUGGGUUUGAUCUGUCCCCCAUUGUCACUGUGCUGGGAGCUUUCUUCCAGGGUGGCAGUCUGGAGGCUGAUAGAACAUUUUUAUUGUUGUUUUUUGUUUCCUUUUUUUUUUUUUUUUUUUUUUUUUUUGUUUUAGGUGGCUCUGAGGAUCAAACUCGUCCGGACAUUGUGUUUCUUGUGCUUGCAAGGCAGGCAGUGGAACCACAGCUAAAUCCCUGGCCUAACAGAACCUUUCUGAGAGAUUUAUAAAAAAAAUCAUCAGUAAUUACAUCUUAUUGACUUUUGAUUGUUUCAAAAAACUCAAAAAAAAUGCAUUAAAAAUGCACUACAUUCUUUAAAAGUGGUCUGAAAAAGGAGUUUCCAAAAAAUUUCAUGAAUGGUAACAUCAUCACCAAAUCUCUGGCCUCUCAAGGUAAAUAUGCUCUUUAAAUUCUAUUUUAUUUGAGUACAUGGUCAGAGUUUCAUGUAAGUCUUUCUCAAUGCCAUGCAGUUUCCCCUGUUAUUAAUAUAUUGAAUUAUGUGGUAUAUUUGUUAUAAUUAAUGAACUAAUAUUGAUAUAAUAACCUGAGUCCCAUAAUUUAUAUUACGGUGACAUAUGCCUGUAAUCCCAGCACUUUGUGAAACAGAGGCAGGAGGAUCACAAGUGCAAAUCCAGCCUGGCCAACUUAGCAAGACUCUAGCACGCCUGUAAUGCCAACACUUAGGAGGCUGAGGCAGGAGGAUUGCUGUGAGUUUGAGACCAGCCUUGGCUACAUAGUGAGUUCCAGUUCAGUCUGAACUACAUAUUGAGACUCUGUCUCAAAAAACCAAAANNNNNNNNNNNNNNNNNNNNNNNNNNNAAAAAAAAAAAAAAAAAAAAAAAAAAAAAAAGAUUCUAUCUAAAACGAAAAAUAAAACAAACCAAAGAAAUCACUGGGAUUGAACAUUAGCACAAAGCCCUGGGUUCAGUUCUUGAACCACAAACACACGUAAGUUCACUUUUUAUGUUGGAUAGUCUCGUGGGUUUAAUAAGUCCACAAUACCAUUAGUGUGUCGAUACCUAUAGUGUGUCAUCAUAAAUAAUAGUUUAAUCAACCUAGAAAAUACUUUUCUGUAUUUUUUCUUUCUCAUGAAUGUCAUGUGAUUGGAAUUAUGCAGAAUGUGGCCUCCCCAGACUGGCUUCUUUCACUUAAUAAAAGGCAUUUUCAGGUUCCUGUGUUUUUGGUUUGUUUGUCUAUUCACUCAAAGAAG
This 2172-nucleotide long non-coding RNA is filed under the name Fukomys damarensis (Damara mole-rat). RNAcentral describes it as "lncRNA (ENSFDAG00000021684.1)". The record is from RNAcentral. Lineage: Eukaryota; Metazoa; Chordata; Mammalia; Rodentia; Bathyergidae.